AAGUCGUAACAAGGUUUCCGUAGGUGAACCUGCGGAAGGAUCAUUAUUGAAAUAAACCUGAUGGGUUGUUGCUGGUUCUCUAGGGAGCAUGUGCACACCUUGUCAUCUUUAUAUCUCCACCUGUGCACUUUUUGUAGACCUUUUCAGGUCUAUGUUGCCUCAUUUUACCCCAAUGUAUGUCAAUAGAAUGUUGUGCCUAUAUAUAAUAUAUACAACUUUCAGCAACGGAUCUCUUGGCUCUCGCAUCGAUGAAGAACGCAGCGAAAUGCGAUAAGUAAUGUGAAUUGCAGAAUUCAGUGAAUCAUCGAAUCUUUGAACGCACCUUGCGCUCCUUGGUAUUCCGAGGAGCAUGCCUGUUUGAGUGUCAUUAAUAUAAUCAACCUUCUCUUGUUUUGAGAAUGGUUUGGAUGUGGGGGGUUUGCUGGCCUCUCUCAAAAGGUUCAGCUCCCCUGAAAUGCAUUAGCAGAGCAACCUUUGCUCAUUGGUGUGAUAACUAUCUACGCUUAUGAAUAUGAGGGGCAGUUCAGCUUUCUAACGGUCUUUGGACAAUUCAUCAUUAAUGUGACCUCAAAUCAGGUAGGACUACCCGCUGAACUUAA
This 599-nucleotide ribosomal RNA is filed under the name uncultured Cortinarius. RNAcentral describes it as "eukaryotic LSU rRNA". The stretch from base 214 to 367 matches the Rfam family "5.8S ribosomal RNA". Lineage: Eukaryota; Fungi; Basidiomycota; Agaricomycetes; Agaricales; Cortinariaceae. The record is from RNAcentral.